AUGAAAAUCGUUAGUUGGAACUGCCGGGGGUUGGGGAAUGGCCCGGCGGUUCGGUCUCUUCUCGAGUUGGGAAGAAUGGAGGACCCUGAUAUUUUGUUUUUCUCGAAGACGAGGUUGUAUGAGAAGGAGUUAGAGCACUUAAGGUGGAAAUUGGGGUUAGUGAAGGAAAUAUGCCCUAGAGGCAAUAAUAAAGUUAUUAUUUAUUUCCUUAUAUUCAUGAUAAAUGUUUAUUAUUCAUGCUAG
Molecule: ribosomal RNA, 243 nt
Filed under: Triticum aestivum (bread wheat)
Lineage: Eukaryota; Viridiplantae; Streptophyta; Magnoliopsida; Poales; Poaceae
Description: partial small subunit ribosomal RNA
Source: RNAcentral